Molecule: ribosomal RNA, 670 nt
Filed under: uncultured eukaryote
Lineage: Eukaryota
Description: bacterial SSU rRNA
Rfam family: Eukaryotic small subunit ribosomal RNA
Source: RNAcentral
UUUGAUGGUAGUGUAUUGGACUACCUUGGCUAUCACGGGUAACGGAGAAUUAGGGUUCGAUUCCGGAGAGGGAGCCUGAGAAACGGCUACCACAUCCACGGUAGGCAGCAGGCGCGUAAAUUACCCAAUCCUGACUCAGGGAGGUAGUCACGAGAAAUCUUGGAUCGGCCUUAUGGCUGAAUAUAUGAUGGAUUAAAUAUAGACCAUUUUUUGAAAUCAAUUGGAGGGCAAGUCUCGGUGCCAGCAGCCGCGGUAAUUCCAGCUCCAAUAGCGUAUUUUAAUGUUGUUGCAGUUAAAAAGCUCGUAGUUGAACCUCUAGUCCGGAGUACCUCCCACUGGGAGGACCAUUCCGAGGCUAUCCGCUAGGCGGCGUCUCAUGUUUCACCACUUGUUACGUAUAACCUAGCACUUUACUUUGAAGAAAUUAGAGUGUUUCAGGCAGGCUUUAGCUUGUAUACACCAGCAUGGAAUAAUAGAAAAGGACUGCAUCCAUUUUAUUGGUUAUUGGAUACAGUAAUGAUUAACAGGAACAGUUGGGGGCAUUUGUAUUUAGUAGUUAGAGGUGAAAUUCUUGGAUUUACUAAGGACAAACUAAUGCGAAGGCAUUUGCCAAGGAUGUUUUCAUUAAUCAAGAACGAAAGAUUGGGGAUCAAAGACGAUUAGAUACCGU